Xiphophorus couchianus (Monterrey platyfish) is the source of this 2888-nucleotide long non-coding RNA. RefSeq lists it as uncharacterized. The record is from RefSeq and is a predicted model, not a curated record. Lineage: Eukaryota; Metazoa; Chordata; Actinopteri; Cyprinodontiformes; Poeciliidae. The transcript has 3 exons.
UAGACACAGGAAAGAUACCACAAAAAUAUAAAAACAUAAUUAACUUCAGUCCUUUAUCAAACUGUUACAGUUUUGUUCUUUUUAAAAUUUUCAAAAAAGUGAAACAUGGAAGUUGUUCACAUUAUGUUAAUAUUUCAUUUCAAGUUAACACAUAAAAAUUGUGCUUGUUGUGUUUAAUUAAUUAAUUCUAGUAAAGAUAACAUGAUUUUGUCACAUGUUAACCUAAAUAAAUAAUUUUAUUUUGUGUGAAAACAACCAAAUUUAGUUAAGUGAAUUAGCACACCAAUACCUCUUUUGGCCAUAAGGGGGCAGUAAUGCAACAAUAAAACUGCGCGAACAGAAAAUCCAGUUUAAACCGGAUUAGUCUGGAUGUUCAUCCGAAGACAGCAGUCGUGAGGCUUUGGCGAGCCGUUUUAACAUAAAUUCGGUUUCGUCUGACUGUCCGUAAUUACCUUCUAGAUAUCUAAAAAUGCAUUUUGACUAGACAACACUACAUUUUGACUAUCCGGAGUGGUAAUCUUAAAUAGAAAAGCUGUGUAAUUGAAGAUAUCUCUAAUUCAUUUAGAGAUACGUAGCUUAAAAGGAAUUCUGACUAGUCAAAAUUACAAUUUAAGAUAUCUCUAAUUUAGUUUUGUCUAGUCAUUAUUUGCUUUUAAGAUAUAUAUAAUUUAGUUUUCACUAGUCAAAACUACAUAUCUCCUAUCCAAAAAUAAAUUUAAGAUAUCUUGAAUUAUGUUGUCAUUCGAGAUAUCUUCAAUUAGAAUGAUGACUAGUCAAAACUACAAUCGAGAUAUCUUGAAUUUACUUUAUGAUUAGUCAUAAUUUAAUUGUAGAUAUCUGAAAUGUGUAUUUCAGAUAGUCAGUAAUUCAUUGUAGAUAUCUUGAAUUGAAUCUCCAUAUAACACUAUGGUAAAUCUGAUGUCAUUUCGACUAGUCAGAAUGUAAUUAAAGAUAUCUCAAAUAGGUAUUUUGUCUAGUCAAAAUACAAUUAGAGAUAUCUUAGAUCGCUAAAACGUCUAGUCAUAAGACAAUUUGAGAUAUCUGGAAUGUAAGGGCGGCAAAACCGAAUUUAUGUUAAAACGGCUUGCCAAACUAUGCCAACUAUGACAAGCCGUUUUAGCAUAAAUUCGGUUUUGCCGCCCUUACAUUCCAGACUUUUGCUUUUAACAUCUCCAUUUGGGUUUUAAUUCACCACUUCAUGAUAAUUUUACUCUUUCACCAGAGUCAUCUGGCGGGAUGAUGAGUUUAAACUUAAAUGGCGUGUUCUUUGUUAUUGUGUUUUACAUUGCUUUGUCACCAUUGAUUAUUCAGGUAAUCCUGUGCAUGAGGGGACAGAAACCAGGAGCUCCAAAAUUAACCUGAAUUGGAGCUUGUCUGAACUGAAUAACUUUGUGUGUCAAAGCUACCCACACAUCAGCCUAAAUCUGGUUGGCUUUGAACUGGCAAGAUGUGGAAAAGGACGAAAGGUAAAAACAAAUUACAAGUGAAUUCUGUGAGGGAGCUGAAGGAAAAGGUUGGCAAAAGCAGACUCUACAUUCUACCACGAGCAGACACAGGUAUGAUUGUUUUGUACACAAAAAUAAUUUCAUGUAGUAUGGUAUAUCCAGAGUAAUAUCUUCCACUAUAAUUUGAAAUGUCUUGGCCAUGUCUAGGAAACCUAAGCAAUGUCCAGGAGUUUGUUUCCAGAACCCUCAACUGCACCAGAAGUACAGGAUAUCUCUCCAGAUGCUGAGAGUACCAACAGACAACAUUUAGGGGAAGAGCAGGUCAUUCAUUUCAAGAACAAUAUAUGCAUUUUAGUUUUAUAUCUUAUUUCUGAUGUUGACUUUAACAAUCUCUGUGCUGUAUUCACAAUAGACACUGCUAGAUUGGCGAUCUCUGCGGUCCCAGCAAGACGAAAAGUCUGAAGAGUCUUUGUUAGCAGACCAAGAAAAAGUGACUUAACAUUUUUGUUAUCAUCAUUUGUUGUUGCUGCUGUUGUUGUUAUUGUUACUCACUUUUUUUUCUACCAGGAAAGGAGAAAACAGUGUUACAAGGCCUGGGAGGAAAGAUGCAUAAAAGUAAGAACUAUUACAUUGCUAGGAUGAUAGUGGUUUAUGGAUUACCUAAAGGCCUUAGUGCUCAUGUUUUAGGCAAUUGAAGAACGCCUUCAACGACUGGCGGUAUAUAAAGAACCGUCAAGUGGACUGCUGUUGAAGUUCAAAUAUCCGAAUGGAUUUAUCAGAAAGAGAACUUUCAAUGUGUCGGACCCAAUUCUGGUCUUGUUUGACUUUGUCGGACAAGAUGAAAUGGCAAGUGAAAUAUUCAGUGUUCAACAAGCAACAUCAUCCAAACCAAUUGAGAGUACCUCAUCAGGCUCACUUAUGGAUCCUGGCAUAACAACAUCUGCAACUCUGUACGUGCUUUGGAUUUCAACUCUAGAUAUUCAGGAAAGGUGUCCAGUUCAGGCGAAUGUAGUGCUGGAGCAGUCACUGUCUUCUGUCCGAAGUCUACAGACAUCGCUUUCUGACCAAGCACUGACAUCUUUGUCAGCCCAGUCACCACUGGCCCCAACAUUUCCUCAAGUCCUGUCGACCAUGUUCAACUCCCCAGAAACAUCAACUUCGUUCUCCUCCCGGGCAACUGUGUCCCAGCUCUAUACUCAAGUACAACCAAUUUUGCCGUCUUCUAAAGUUUCUUUGGUUGCAACCUCAAGGCUGCCCCUCUCCUCCCACUCUAACCUGACUCCACAGGUGAUGACCAUUGAGGACCAGGCACCAGCUCUCCAUUUACUGAGCAACCUAUAAAUCUACUGGAAGACCAAGCAGAGCCACCAGAGUCUCUACAACAGGGGUGUCAAACUCCAGUCCUCAAGGCCCGCAGUCCUGCAACUUUUAGAUGUGCCUCUG